GUGUGUCCAGGGGAGUUGCAGACAGGAAGAUAAGGAAUGUCUGUGUUAGCAGCAGGUAGGAGUGGCCUGCUUCAGGAGACUUUCCAAAGCCUUGGCCAUUGGGAAGAGACCUAAGACGCAGGGGAGGUGUGAAUCCACUCUGUACACAGAGCCUGCUAAUCACGAACCUUUGGACUCUGUUGCUUACACCUUCCUUCCUUGGAAUCCAACAACAUUUUGUGCUUCAGAUCAAUCUCAAACCUUUUUUACGUUACUACAAUCUGAAGACAUAGUUGGGCAGUGCAAGUAUUUUUUUAUUUUUAUUUUUGCUGGUGAUUUGGGGAACGUUUUCUGGAUCUUCAGACUGGCUGUACAUUGAUGUGAAUAUGGUUUUAGAGAACUAAAAUAUUCUCUCGUGGGAAACCAAGAUACAGAAACUAAGGAUUUCCUGCCACAUGACCUGGAGCUGCGUAUGUGAGGGAGAUUAACCAAGUUCAGUCUGGAAAUAGAUGGUAAAGACAGAUGUGGAUGAGUUGACGGUGACAAAGCCUUUGGUUUUUGAGCACUGAGGAUAAGGUUCCCACCUCUAACUUGCCCUGAUGUUACCCAGGCCUGGCUCAGACAUCUAAGACAGGAAGAGGAGCUUCUGCAACCUGCGACAAGACUCUCUCCUUCCCAGGGGCACCCGUGUGUGUAUGUAGCUGUCCUGAGCCAGUCUAGUCUGAAUACGAACAUGGCAGCCAAGCCUGACCGGUUUCACCCCACCACACUGCAUCCUGCCGUUCUUCCUCCCUGUGGCAUGACAGGCUGCGAACACACUCAUGCUGGAGUCUGGAGACUCAGCUAAUCCACACAUCGUACAACUCACAACAACCGACCAUCUCUCCCCACUGCUCCGCAAAGAAUUCACCGCAGAAGGCUGGCGCAAGCUCGCAUCCCACGCUCACUAGCUACACAGCUGUGCAUUUACUUGUAACUUGUGAAGCAUUAUAAAUAAUUCAAACUAAAUGCCAGUGGUGGAAAUAAAUGAGCCAAGUCCAUUAUGUGGUGCACUAACCUGGCUUGUUAAAACUGGGUUUAUUCAUUUACAGUGAGAUUCACCCCUGCACAGAAGAGUAGCACGUGGCCUGCGUAUCACUUAUAUCCCACUAAAGGCUAGUUUCAAGGACAUAAAUGGUGCAUAAGCCUUGAGCUGUCUGUCUGUACAGGGCUGAAUUUCACCCUUAAUGAUCUGAAGUAGUUCUCUCUGCUCAGCCAAAUUAUGUUCAAGUAAUAUUGGCACAAAUAACCAUAUUAGCAACAGAAUUCUCUCUGAGAUGUUAGUUUUGUACCCCUGGAAUGCUGUCUGGAGACAAUCUGUGGUUAUCUCCCCGCCUAAAGGGUUGUUUACACAGAAACUCAGGAAAACCAAUACAAAUUAGCUCAAGGUGUGAAUUUAAAGUGGAUCAAUUAAAUUGCAUUAAAACACCGUAUGGAUGCUCUCAUUAAGUGGCUUUAGUUUUGUUUACUUUAAUUCAUUCCCAAAAUGCAAAUUGAAUGCAGUUUUGCUAAUCCACUUCAAAAAUUAAUUCCAAUGAAUUUUCCUGAGAGAUUCCAGGUGUAGACAAGACCUAAUGGUCAAAUCCAUCAUCCUUCUGGGCUACUAUUAAUAAAAGCAAUUUGGAUUUCAAUCGUCAACACCUCUGUGCCAUAUUCAUGUUGCACCAGACCCUGAUUUUAAUGUGGGUGCACCUUUCCAAGGAAGAUGGGUUGGGGUUGGUAACACAAGUUCUUUCUCUUGGCCUUGUCUUGUAAUCUCUUGUUUGCUCUUAUGGACUUUUUACCUCAAGAUGUUCAGGGAUAAAGGGACUAUGCAAAAGCGGGCGAUGAAUGAUUUAGUAACUGUUUCAGAGUCCUGUGCACUCAAUCCCCGGGGAGGGAUCUGCUAGAACACUCACAGUUAUUUGUAUGUCACAUCGUUCGUUGAAGGAAUGACACAGAGCAAGGAAAGAGGUAUUUGUAAGGGGUUCAUUCACUAGAGGAGCACCUCCUCCUGGCCAGGUGUGGGGUAGUGGCUCUCUGCCCCUAGGACACCCCCUGACAACAGUUGCUCCAUCACUGUGGUGGUCUGUCUUUCUGCAACUGGGCCCUCUGGCCAGGUCACGCUUUAGUCCAUCCCUUCUGGGGUAACAUAGUCCAAUGACUUUACAGCAGGUCUUCCAUUGGUUUCUGGAGUCUGUGGUCCUUGCACCCUUUACCUCAGGGGUUUUCAUCCCACCUUCCUUGGUGGCUGAUAGGGGAACCCUGGGUCUCCCUCUACUCUGGGCUCCAGCUCAGGGACCCUGUAGGCAGUAGCCAAGGUCUAAACUCUCAGACUCCUUAUGGUCUCCCUGUACUGUUUCCUACCUUUUCUGUUCCCCAGAGAAUGACUACAGACUCUCUCCCUGCAGCCCCCUUUCUUCUUUUUCCUCUUCUUGGGUUUUGUGGCAUAGCAGACUUGAUUCCGCAGUCAGGAAAGAUGCAUUGACUCAUGUAUUUGCUAUAUUUGCCAAAUAGGAUUAUCUGAUUUCUGUGCAUGUACCAUUUUUUGAAUCUGAAGUUAUGAAUAUUGACUAUGGAUCUGUAUUUCAAAUGUGCUUACUCUGGGUUACACCCACAACCAGCCUUUCAGGAACAACAAGGAAGAAGCAAAGGCAAUGGACCAUGGAAGAGCUUAGCCUGCCUGUGAACAUUUCAGCCAGCCUAUGAGUAAUGGCUGCUAGGGCUCAACAAGGGCAUGUGACCAGACCACAUGACACUGAACUCCAUUUUGGUACCUGUAUUUUUCCACAAGCUGGGCUGGGGACUUAGCUGGAAACAAAGGGCUCCCACCCUGAUUAUCUAAAGUGGGGAGUGAUAUCAUGAUUGGUCUUCACUCCCCCACAGCUCAACACCUGAAAGAAGCAGUGAAAGACAAAGGACUCGGGAUGGGAGAGGUGAGCCCAAGCUGCAAAGCAAGUGCAGCUUGUGCCUUAAGAAUCUGCAAGCCUGCUUGCAAUAUCAGUCAGGGUAAGAGAUUACGGAUCAAAUCUUAUUUAGUACUUUAGGCUUAGUUUGCGGUUUUGUUUA
Long non-coding RNA from Chelonia mydas (Green sea turtle), 3066 nucleotides. RefSeq lists it as uncharacterized. The record is from RefSeq and is a predicted model, not a curated record. NCBI's taxonomy places the organism in Eukaryota, Metazoa, Chordata, Testudines, Cheloniidae. The transcript is spliced from 3 exons.